This 2922-nucleotide ribosomal RNA is filed under the name Staphylococcus aureus. RNAcentral describes it as "bacterial LSU rRNA". It matches the Rfam family "Bacterial large subunit ribosomal RNA". The record is from RNAcentral. Lineage: Bacteria; Bacillati; Bacillota; Bacilli; Caryophanales; Staphylococcaceae.
UUAAGUUAUUAAGGGCGCACGGUGGAUGCCUUGGCACUAGAAGCCGAUGAAGGACGUUACUAACGACGAUAUGCUUUGGGGAGCUGUAAGUAAGCUUUGAUCCAGAGAUUUCCGAAUGGGGAAACCCAGCAUGAGUUAUGUCAUGUUAUCGAUAUGUGAAUACAUAGCAUAUCAGAAGGCACACCCGGAGAACUGAAACAUCUUAGUACCCGGAGGAAGAGAAAGAAAAUUCGAUUCCCUUAGUAGCGGCGAGCGAAACGGGAAGAGCCCAAACCAACAAGCUUGCUUGUUGGGGUUGUAGGACACUCUAUACGGAGUUACAAAGGACGACAUUAGACGAAUCAUCUGGAAAGAUGAAUCAAAGAAGGUAAUAAUCCUGUAGUCGAAAAUGUUGUCUCUCUUGAGUGGAUCCUGAGUACGACGGAGCACGUGAAAUUCCGUUGGAAUCUGGGAGGACCAUCUCCUAAGGCUAAAUACUCUCUAGUGACCGAUAGUGAACCAGUACCGUGAGGGAAAGGUGAAAAGCACCCCGGAAGGGGAGUGAAAUAGAACCUGAAACCGUGUGCUUACAAGUAGUCAGAGCCCGUUAAUGGGUGAUGGCGUGCCUUUUGUAGAAUGAACCGGCGAGUUACGAUUUGAUGCAAGGUUAAGCAGUAAAUGUGGAGCCGUAGCGAAAGCGAGUCUGAAUAGGGCGUUUAGUAUUUGGUCGUAGACCCGAAACCAGGUGAUCUACCCUUGGUCAGGUUGAAGUUCAGGUAACACUGAAUGGAGGACCGAACCGACUUACGUUGAAAAGUGAGCGGAUGAACUGAGGGUAGCGGAGAAAUUCCAAUCGAACCUGGAGAUAGCUGGUUCUCUCCGAAAUAGCUUUAGGGCUAGCCUCAAGUGAUGAUUAUUGGAGGUAGAGCACUGUUUGGACGAGGGGCCCCUCUCGGGUUACCGAAUUCAGACAAACUCCGAAUGCCAAUUAAUUUAACUUGGGAGUCAGAACAUGGGUGAUAAGGUCCGUGUUCGAAAGGGAAACAGCCCAGACCACCAGCUAAGGUCCCAAAAUAUAUGUUAAGUGGAAAAGGAUGUGGCGUUGCCCAGACAACUAGGAUGUUGGCUUAGAAGCAGCCAUCAUUUAAAGAGUGCGUAAUAGCUCACUAGUCGAGUGACACUGCGCCGAAAAUGUACCGGGGCUAAACAUAUUACCGAAGCUGUGGAUUGUCCUUUGGACAAUGGUAGGAGAGCGUUCUAAGGGCGUUGAAGCAUGAUCGUAAGGACAUGUGGAGCGCUUAGAAGUGAGAAUGCCGGUGUGAGUAGCGAAAGACGGGUGAGAAUCCCGUCCACCGAUUGACUAAGGUUUCCAGAGGAAGGCUCGUCCGCUCUGGGUUAGUCGGGUCCUAAGCUGAGGCCGACAGGCGUAGGCGAUGGAUAACAGGUUGAUAUUCCUGUACCACCUAUAAUCGUUUUAAUCGAUGGGGGGGACGCAGUAGGAUAGGCGAAGCGUGCGAUUGGAUUGCACGUCUAAGCAGUAAGGCUGAGUAUUAGGCAAAUCCGGUACUCAUUAAGGCUGAGCUGUGAUGGGGAGAAGACAUUGUGUCUUCGAGUCGUUGAUUUCACACUGCCGAGAAAAGCCUCUAGAUAGAAAAUAGGUGCCCGUACCGCAAACCGACACAGGUAGUCAAGAUGAGAAUUCUAAGGUGAGCGAGCGAACUCUCGUUAAGGAACUCGGCAAAAUGACCCCGUAACUUCGGGAGAAGGGGUGCUCUUUAGGGUUAACGCCCAGAAGAGCCGCAGUGAAUAGGCCCAAGCGACUGUUUAUCAAAAACACAGGUCUCUGCUAAACCGUAAGGUGAUGUAUAGGGGCUGACGCCUGCCCGGUGCUGGAAGGUUAAGAGGAGUGGUUAGCUUCUGCGAAGCUACGAAUCGAAGCCCCAGUAAACGGCGGCCGUAACUAUAACGGUCCUAAGGUAGCGAAAUUCCUUGUCGGGUAAGUUCCGACCCGCACGAAAGGCGUAACGAUUUGGGCACUGUCUCAACGAGAGACUCGGUGAAAUCAUAGUACCUGUGAAGAUGCAGGUUACCCGCGACAGGACGGAAAGACCCCGUGGAGCUUUACUGUAGCCUGAUAUUGAAAUUCGGCACAGCUUGUACAGGAUAGGUAGGAGCCUUUGAAACGUGAGCGCUAGCUUACGUGGAGGCGCUGGUGGGAUACUACCCUAGCUGUGUUGGCUUUCUAACCCGCACCACUUAUCGUGGUGGGAGACAGUGUCAGGCGGGCAGUUUGACUGGGGCGGUCGCCUCCUAAAAGGUAACGGAGGCGCUCAAAGGUUCCCUCAGAAUGGUUGGAAAUCAUUCAUAGAGUGUAAAGGCAUAAGGGAGCUUGACUGCGAGACCUACAAGUCGAGCAGGGUCGAAAGACGGACUUAGUGAUCCGGUGGUUCCGCAUGGAAGGGCCAUCGCUCAACGGAUAAAAGCUACCCCGGGGAUAACAGGCUUAUCUCCCCCAAGAGUUCACAUCGACGGGGAGGUUUGGCACCUCGAUGUCGGCUCAUCGCAUCCUGGGGCUGUAGUCGGUCCCAAGGGUUGGGCUGUUCGCCCAUUAAAGCGGUACGCGAGCUGGGUUCAGAACGUCGUGAGACAGUUCGGUCCCUAUCCGUCGUGGGCGUAGGAAAUUUGAGAGGAGCUGUCCUUAGUACGAGAGGACCGGGAUGGACAUACCUCUGGUGUACCAGUUGUCGUGCCAACGGCAUAGCUGGGUAGCUAUGUGUGGACGGGAUAAGUGCUGAAAGCAUCUAAGCAUGAAGCCCCCCUCAAGAUGAGAUUUCCCAACUUCGGUUAUAAGAUCCCUCAAAGAUGAUGAGGUUAAUAGGUUCGAGGUGGAAGCAUGGUGACAUGUGGAGCUGACGAAUACUAAUCGAUCGAAGACUUAAUCAA